GCUAGUUCCAGACCUGAAGAAUGGUCUUGCGGCCCACCGCUGCUAUGAUCAUGGAGAAACGUCUAUUAGGUACGGGGUUGCCAGGCAUGGGUCCCAACAAUAGGAAACUAGGAUUUAAUGUCAAGGGCGAUAUAUUGUUGUUCAUUAAGUAUUGCGCAACCUCCCUCCAGAAGCCCUGUAUUAGGGGGCACUCCCACAGGCAGUGAUACAGGUCACUGUUGAUGUG
Molecule: non-coding RNA, 226 nt
Organism: Pelobates cultripes (western spadefoot toad)
Lineage: Eukaryota; Metazoa; Chordata; Amphibia; Anura; Pelobatidae
Source: the annotation of a GenBank genome assembly